Molecule: ribosomal RNA, 440 nt
Filed under: uncultured bacterium
Lineage: Bacteria
Description: partial 16S ribosomal RNA
Rfam family: Bacterial small subunit ribosomal RNA
Source: RNAcentral
CCUACGAGAGGCAGCAGUGGGGAAUAUUGCACAAUGGGGGAAACCCUGAUGCAGCGACGCCGCGUGAAGGAAGAAGUAUUUCGGUAUGUACACUUCUAUCAGCAGGGAAGAAAAUGACGGUACCUGAAUAAGAAGCCCCGGCUAACUACGUGCCAGCAGCCGCGGUAAUACGUAGGGGGCAAGCGUUAUCCGGAUUUACUGGGUGUAAAGGGAGCGUAGGCGGUUUAGCAAGUCAGAAGUGAAAGCCCGGGGCUCAACUCCGGGACUGCUUGUGAAACUGUUGAACUAGAGUGCAGGAGAGGGAAGUGGAAUUCCUAGUGUAGCGGUGAAAUGCGUAGAUAUUAGGAGGAACACCAGUGGCGAAGGCGGCUUACUGGACUGUAAAUGACGCUGAGGCUCGAAAGCGUGGGGAGCAAACAGGAUUAGAUACCCGUGUAGUC